Molecule: ribosomal RNA, 274 nt
Filed under: uncultured bacterium
Lineage: Bacteria
Description: partial 16S ribosomal RNA
Rfam family: Bacterial small subunit ribosomal RNA
Source: RNAcentral
AUACGAAAGGUGCAAGCGUUGUUCGGAUUUACUGGGCGUAAAGGGAGUGUAGGUUGUUUAUUAAGUCGGAUGUGAAAUCCCGGGGCUCAACCUCGGAACUGCAUUCGAUACUGGUAGACUAGAGUUCGGGAGGGGUAAGCGGAAUUCCGUGUGUAGCAGUGAAAUGCGUAGAUAUACGGAGGAACACCUGAGGCGAAGGCGGCUUACUGGACCGAUACUGACACUGAGACUCGAAAGCGUGGGUAGCAAACAGGAUUAGAAACCCUAGUAGUCC